Molecule: ribosomal RNA, 497 nt
Filed under: uncultured bacterium
Lineage: Bacteria
Description: partial 16S ribosomal RNA
Rfam family: Bacterial small subunit ribosomal RNA
Source: RNAcentral
GAUGAACGCUGGCGGCGUGCCUAAUACAUGCAAGUCGAGCGAACGGACGAGAAGCUUGCUUCUCUGAUGUUAGCGGCGGACGGGUGAGUAACACGUGGAUAACCUACCUAUAAGACUGGGAUAACUUCGGGAAACCGGAGCUAAUACCGGACGAUAUUUUGAACCGCAUGGUUCAAAAGUGAAAGACGGUCUUGCUGUCACUUAUAGAUGGAUCCGCGCUGCAUUAGCUAGUUGGUAAGGUAACGGCUUACCAAGGCAACGAUGCAUAGCCGACCUGAGAGGGUGAUCGGCCACACUGGAACUGAGACACGGUCCAGACUCCUACGGGAGGCAGCAGUAGGGAAUCUUCCGCAAUGGGCGAAAGCCUGACGGAGCAACGCCGCGUGAGUGAUGAAGGUCUUCGGAUCGUAAAACUCUGUCAUUAGGGAAGAACAUAUGUGUAAGUAACUGUGCACAUCUUGACGGUACCUAAUCAGAAAGCCACGGCUAACUACGUG